RNAcentral lists this ribosomal RNA (200 nucleotides) under uncultured bacterium. RNAcentral describes it as "partial 16S ribosomal RNA". It matches the Rfam family "Bacterial small subunit ribosomal RNA", at positions 8 to 197 of the family's 1533-position model. The record is from RNAcentral.
AGAGUUUGAUCCUGGCUCAGAGCGAACGCUGGCGGCGUGCUUAACACAUGCAAGUCGAACGCGCAGUUUGGUGUAGCAAUACACUGAGCGGGCGCGUGGCGAACGGGUGCGUAACACGUGGAUAACCUUCCUUCAGGUGGGGAAUAACCCAGCGAAAGUUGGGCUAAUACCGCAUAACAUGACGGUGGCACAUGCUGCUG